This 500-nucleotide non-coding RNA is filed under the name Pongo abelii (Sumatran orangutan). Lineage: Eukaryota; Metazoa; Chordata; Mammalia; Primates; Hominidae. The record is from RNAcentral.
UUUGACCGCGCGCGUGUGGGCGCUGACCUUGCGGGACUUCUCCAGCAGCUUGCUCACCGUGUUGCUGGUGGAGGCCUGGUAUUUGGAGAGCUUGGUGAGGUCAUUCUGGAUGCCCUUCACGGAGCCCUCCAAACUGAUCUGUCGCUGCUCCAUCUUGUGCUGGUUCUCCUGCACAGCGUCUAGCAUGUUCACCAGCUUGUCCAGGAGCGUGAGCACCGUGACGGCGUUCACCUGCGUUGUGGCUCUGGAGACCUGGAAGCACCACUAACUGUUCUCCUGAUUUUCUGAUGCUCAGCCACAUCAACCUGUCAUGCUAGUUGUGAGGAGAAGUCAAGGACAGUGACACAGCCAGCCAGUCUGAGGGGUUUUCCAUCAUCCUGAAGGAGUUGCCCUAUCCUGCUUUUCACUGGAGGGGGCAUGGAUGGGGGCUCUUGACACACUGACCUCUGUCAGUUCCUUCAGCACACCAGGCUAAUCCCCAGUCUUGUGCCUUUGGACCA